AGUGAACGCUGGCGGUAGGCCUAACACAUGCAAGUCGAACGGCAGCACAGUAAGAGCUUGCUCUUACGGGUGGCGAGUGGCGGACGGGUGAGGAAUACAUCGGAAUCUACUUUUUCGUGGGGGAUAACGUAGGGAAACUUACGCUAAUACCGCAUACGACCUACGGGUGAAAGCAGGGGAUCUUCGGACCUUGCGCGAUUGAAUGAGCCGAUGUCGGAUUAGCUAGUUGGCGGGGUAAAGGCCCACCAAGGCGACGAUCCGUAGCUGGUCUGAGAGGAUGAUCAGCCACACGGGAACGGAGACACGGUCCAGACUCCUACGGGAGGCAGCAGUGGGGAAUAUUGGACAAUGGGCGCAAGCCUGAUCCAGCCAUACCGCGUGGGUGAAGAAGGCCUUCGGGUUGUAAAGCCCUUUUGUGGGGAAAGAAAAGCAGCAGGUUAAUACCCCGCUGUUCUGACGGUACCCAAAGAAUAAGCACCGGCUAACUUCGUG
RNAcentral lists this ribosomal RNA (492 nucleotides) under uncultured bacterium. Its description in RNAcentral is "partial 16S ribosomal RNA". It matches the Rfam family "Bacterial small subunit ribosomal RNA", at positions 29 to 507 of the family's 1533-position model. The record is from RNAcentral.